RNAcentral lists this ribosomal RNA (578 nucleotides) under uncultured Enterobacteriaceae bacterium. RNAcentral describes it as "bacterial SSU rRNA". It matches the Rfam family "Bacterial small subunit ribosomal RNA", at positions 102 to 676 of the family's 1533-position model. Lineage: Bacteria; Pseudomonadati; Pseudomonadota; Gammaproteobacteria; Enterobacterales; Enterobacteriaceae. The record is from RNAcentral.
ACGGGUGAGUAAUGUCUGGGAAACUGCCUGAUGGAGGGGGAUAACUACUGGAAACGGUAGCUAAUACCGCAUGACCUCGAAAGAGCGAAGUGGGGGACCUUCGGGCCUCACGCCAUCGGAUGUGCCCAGAUGGGAUUAGCUAGUAGGUGAGGUAAUGGCUCACCUAGGCGACGAUCCCUAGCUGGUCUGAGAGGAUGACCAGCCACACUGGAACUGAGACACGGUCCAGACUCCUACGGGAGGCAGCAGUGGGGAAUAUUGCACAAUGGGCGCAAGCCUGAUGCAGCCAUGCCGCGUGUGUGAAGAAGGCCUUCGGGUUGUAAAGCACUUUCAGCGAGGAGGAAGGGUUCAGUGUUAAUAGCACUGUUCAUUGACGUUACUCGCAGAAGAAGCACCGGCUAACUCCGUGCCAGCAGCCGCGGUAAUACGGAGGGUGCAAGCGUUAAUCGGAAUUACUGGGCGUAAAGCGCACGCAGGCGGUUUGUUAAGUCAGAUGUGAAAUCCCCGAGCUUAACUUGGGAACUGCAUUUGAAACUGGCAAGCUAGAGUCUUGUAGAGGGGGGUAGAAUUCCAGGUGU